GAUGAAGAACGUAGCGAAUUGCGAUAAGUAAUGUGAAUUGCAGAAUUCCGUGAAUCAUCGAAUCUUUGAACGCACAUUGCGCCCGCCAGUAUUCUGGCGGGCAUGCCUGUCUGAGCGUCAUUUCAACCCUCAUGCCCCUAGGGCGUGGUGUUGGGGAUCGGCCAAAGCCCGCGAGGGACGGCCGGCCCCUAAAUCUAGUGGCGGACCCGUCGUGGCCUCCUCUGCGAAGUAGUGAUAUUCCGCAUCGGAGAGCGAUGAGCCCCUGCCGUUAAACCCCCAACUUUCCAAGGUUGACCUCAGAUCAGGUAGGAAUACCCGCUGAACUUAAGCAUAUCAAUAAGCGGAGGA
RNAcentral lists this unclassified non-coding RNA (348 nucleotides) under soil metagenome. RNAcentral's name for it is "partial contains 5.8S ribosomal RNA, internal transcribed spacer 2, and large subunit ribosomal RNA". The stretch from base 1 to 120 matches the Rfam family "5.8S ribosomal RNA", at positions 35 to 154 of the family's 154-position model. The record is from RNAcentral.